UACGGGGGGAGCAAGCGUUGUUCGGAUUUACUGGGCGUAAAGGGCGCGUAGGCGGCCACUGCAAGUCAGUUGUGAAAUCUCCGGGCUUAACCCGGAAAGGUCAACUGAUACUGCAGGCUAGAGUGCAGAAGGGGCAACUGGAAUUCUCGGUGUAGCGGUGAAAUGCGUAGAUAUCGAGAGGAACACCUGCGGCGAAGGCGGGUUGCUGGGCUGACACUGACGCUGAGGCGCGAAAGCCAGGGGAGCGAACGGG
This 253-nucleotide ribosomal RNA is filed under the name uncultured bacterium. RNAcentral's name for it is "partial 16S ribosomal RNA". It matches the Rfam family "Bacterial small subunit ribosomal RNA", at positions 524 to 776 of the family's 1533-position model. The record is from RNAcentral.